AAGAUCACUAAAAUAGAGCUGCUAACUCUAUAAUAAUGAACUCAUUUGAUCUUU
RNAcentral lists this transfer RNA (54 nucleotides) under Alectorobius mimon. RNAcentral describes it as "tRNA-Ser". The record is from RNAcentral. Lineage: Eukaryota; Metazoa; Arthropoda; Arachnida; Ixodida; Argasidae.